Molecule: ribosomal RNA, 1494 nt
Filed under: Mycobacterium gordonae
Lineage: Bacteria; Bacillati; Actinomycetota; Actinomycetes; Mycobacteriales; Mycobacteriaceae
Description: bacterial SSU rRNA
Rfam family: Bacterial small subunit ribosomal RNA
Source: RNAcentral
AGAGUUUGAUUCUGGCUCAGGACGAACGCUGGCGGCGUGCUUAACACAUGCAAGUCGAACGGUAAGGCCCUUCGGGGUACACGAGUGGCGAACGGGUGAGUAACACGUGGGUAAUCUGCCCUGCACAUCGGGAUAAGCCUGGGAAACUGGGUCUAAUACCGAAUAGGACCACAGAACACAUGUCCUGUGGUGGAAAGCUUUUGCGGUGUGGGAUGGGCCCGCGGCCUAUCAGCUUGUUGGUGGGGUGAUGGCCCACCAAGGCGACGACGGGUAGCCGGCCUGAGAGGGUGUCCGGCCACACUGGGACUGAGAUACGGCCCAGACUCCUACGGGAGGCAGCAGUGGGGAAUAUUGCACAAUGGGCGAAAGCCUGAUGCAGCGACGCCGCGUGGGGGAUGACGGCCUUCGGGUUGUAAACCUCUUUCACCAUCGACGAAGGUCCGGGUUUUCUCGGGCUGACGGUAGGUGGAGAAGAAGCACCGGCCAACUACGUGCCAGCAGCCGCGGUAAUACGUAGGGUGCGAGCGUUGUCCGGAAUUACUGGGCGUAAAGAGCUCGUAGGUGGUUUGUCGCGUUGUUCGUGAAAUCUCACGGCUUAACUGUGAGCGUGCGGGCGAUACGGGCAGACUUGAGUACUGCAGGGGAGACUGGAAUUCCUGGUGUAGCGGUGGAAUGCGCAGAUAUCAGGAGGAACACCGGUGGCGAAGGCGGGUCUCUGGGCAGUAACUGACGCUGAGGAGCGAAAGCGUGGGGAGCGAACAGGAUUAGAUACCCUGGUAGUCCACGCCGUAAACGGUGGGUACUAGGUGUGGGUUUCCUUCCUUGGGAUCCGUGCCGUAGCUAACGCAUUAAGUACCCCGCCUGGGGAGUACGGCCGCAAGGCUAAAACUCAAAGAAAUUGACGGGGGCCCGCACAAGCGGCGGAGCAUGUGGAUUAAUUCGAUGCAACGCGAAGAACCUUACCUGGGUUUGACAUGCACAGGACGCCGGCAGAGAUGUCGGUUCCCUUGUGGCCUGUGUGCAGGUGGUGCAUGGCUGUCGUCAGCUCGUGUCGUGAGAUGUUGGGUUAAGUCCCGCAACGAGCGCAACCCUUGUCUCAUGUUGCCAGCGGGUAAUGCCGGGGACUCGUGAGAGACUGCCGGGGUCAACUCGGAGGAAGGUGGGGAUGACGUCAAGUCAUCAUGCCCCUUAUGUCCAGGGCUUCACACAUGCUACAAUGGCCGGUACAAAGGGCUGCGAUGCCGCGAGGUUAAGCGAAUCCUUUUAAAGCCGGUCUCAGUUCGGAUCGGGGUCUGCAACUCGACCCCGUGAAGUCGGAGUCGCUAGUAAUCGCAGAUCAGCAACGCUGCGGUGAAUACGUUCCCGGGCCUUGUACACACCGCCCGUCACGUCAUGAAAGUCGGUAACACCCGAAGCCAGUGGCCUAACCCUUUGGGAGGGAGCUGUCGAAGGUGGGAUCGGCGAUUGGGACGAAGUCGUAACAAGGUAGCCGUA